Molecule: long non-coding RNA, 560 nt
Filed under: Pan troglodytes (chimpanzee)
Lineage: Eukaryota; Metazoa; Chordata; Mammalia; Primates; Hominidae
Description: long non-coding RNA NONPTRT006394
Source: RNAcentral
AGGCAGGGGAAAUCUCACAGACAGCAGCAGGACACAGCCUGCACACCAAGCUCGGGAGGAGCUGGGCAGACUCCGUUUACACAGGAGUGAAGAGGAAAUCAAAAUAUUCUCAGAUGAAGAAAAGCAGAGAAUUUGUCAACAGGAGACCUGCCCUAAAAGAAUGGCCCUAAUGGAAGUUCCUAAAAAAAGAGAAGACACUGAAAAAAAAAACAAAAAAAAACUCGAAGUAUUAUAAAAGUAUCAUAAAGAAAGAGGAGCAUAGUAAGCAAAAAUAUGGGUAAAUGCAAUAGGCUUUCCUUAAUAUGUUUUAUAAAUUAUGUUUGAUGGUGGAAACAAAAAAUUUAUAACGUUGCUUCAUAUGGCUCCUAAUUGCGCCGUAGAGAAAAUCUUGAAGACAAUUAUAAAUAGCAGAGAGUAAGGGACUUAAAGGAAAGUACAGUUGCUAUGCUUCAGUCAAACUUGUGAAAUGAUGACACCAGUAGACAGUGAUAAGUUAUGUAUGUGUAAUAUAAUACCUACAGCAAUCACUAACAGAAGUUACAAAGAGAUUUACUCCUAAG